UACGAAGGGGGCUAGCGUUGCUCGGAAUCACUGGGCGUAAAGCGCACGUAGGCGGAUCUUUAAGUCAGGGGUGAAAUCCUGGAGCUCAACCCCGGAACUGCCUUUGAAACUAGAUUGCUAGAAUCCUGGAGAGGUGAGUGGAAUUCCGAGUGUAGAGGUGAAAUUCGUAGAUAUUCGGAAGAACACCAGUGGCGAAGGCGACUCACUGGACAGGUAUUGACGCUGAGGUGCGAAAGCGUGGGGAGCAAACAGG
This 253-nucleotide ribosomal RNA is filed under the name uncultured bacterium. RNAcentral's name for it is "partial 16S ribosomal RNA". It matches the Rfam family "Bacterial small subunit ribosomal RNA", at positions 524 to 776 of the family's 1533-position model. The record is from RNAcentral.